This 177-nucleotide non-coding RNA is filed under the name Mariprofundus erugo. RNAcentral describes it as "Mariprofundus sp. P3 6S RNA". It matches the Rfam family "6S / SsrS RNA". Rfam says of the family: E. coli 6S RNA was the first non coding RNA to be sequenced, but its function was unknown until recently. It consists of 184 nucleotides that fold into an extended hairpin structure with a large single-stranded internal bulge. Lineage: Bacteria; Pseudomonadati; Pseudomonadota; Candidatius Mariprofundia; Mariprofundales; Mariprofundaceae. The record is from RNAcentral.
AGCUCGUUGCACUGGCGUUAUGGCUUAUUAAAAACUGAGCCGAUGCGCACUGAACGGGAGCCGGUCUAUACGGAUGGUGUGAGUCCCUGCUAACGGGGAAGCCUGAUAUCCGGAUGGGGCGCCCACCUUAACGUAAAGGGUUCAGUUCACAGGUCAUAACGCCAGUGCAACGACAAA